GGUGUGACUGCGUACCUUUUGUAUAAUGGGUCAGCGACUUAUAUUCUGUAGCAAGGUUAACCGUAUAGGGGAGCCGCAGGGAAACCGAGUCUUAACUGGGCGUUAAGUUGCAGGGUAUAGACCCGAAACCCGGUGAUCUAGCCAUGGGCAGGUUGAAGGUUGGGUAACACUAACUGGAGGACCGAACCGACUAAUGUUGAAAAAUUAGCGGAUGACUUGUGGCUGGGGGUGAAAGGCCAAUCAAACCGGGAGAUAGCUGGUUCUCCCCGAAAGCUAUUUAGGUAGCGCCUCGUGAAUUCAUCUUCGGGGGUAGAGCACUGUUUCGGCUAGGGGGUCAUCCCGACUUACCAACCCGAUGCAAACUACGAAUACCGAAGAAUGUUAUCACGGGAGACACACGGCGGGUGCUAACGUCCGUCGUGAAGAGGGAAACAACCCAGACCGCCAGCUAAGGUCCCAAAGUCACAGUUAAGUGGGAAACGAUGUGGGAAGGCACAGACAGCCAGGAUGUUGGCUUAGAAGCAGCCAUCAUUUAAAGAAAGCGUAAUAGCUCACUGGUCGAGUCGGCCUGCGCGGAAGAUGUAACGGGGCUAAACUGUGCACCGAAGCUGCGGCAGCGACACUAGGUGUUGUUGGGUAGGGGAGCGUUCUGUAAGCCUGCGAAGGUGGCCUGUGAGGGUUGCUGGAGGUAUCAGAAGUGCGAAUGCUGACAUAAGUAACGAUAAUGCGGGUGAAAAGCCCGCACGCCGGAAG
RNAcentral lists this ribosomal RNA (753 nucleotides) under Klebsiella aerogenes. RNAcentral describes it as "partial 23S ribosomal RNA". It matches the Rfam family "Bacterial large subunit ribosomal RNA", at positions 590 to 1343 of the family's 2925-position model. The record is from RNAcentral. Lineage: Bacteria; Pseudomonadati; Pseudomonadota; Gammaproteobacteria; Enterobacterales; Enterobacteriaceae.